AUUGGCUAUGGUGAUAUGGUACCGAAAACUAGCGUCGGCAUGAUCAUUGGUUGUCUCUGCGCUUUAACUGGAGUACUUACACUUGCCUUGCCUAUGCCAGUAAUUGUUAGCAAU
Trichinella nativa is the source of this 114-nucleotide regulatory RNA element. It matches the Rfam family "Potassium channel RNA editing signal". Rfam says of the family: This family represents a group of sequences related to the human potassium channel Kv1.1 hairpin element which directs the efficient modification of an adenosine to inosine by an adenosine deaminase acting on RNA (ADAR). The record is from Rfam. NCBI's taxonomy places the organism in Eukaryota, Metazoa, Nematoda, Enoplea, Trichinellida, Trichinellidae.